CCGCAACGAGCGCAACCCUUAUCAAUAGUUGCCAGCGGUUCGGCCGGGCACUCUAUUGAGACUGCCGUUGACAAAACGGAGGAAGGUGGGGAUGACGUCAAGUCCUCAUGGCCUUUAUGUCCAGGGCUACACACGUGCUACAAUGGCCGGUACAAAGCGCUGCAAACCUGCAAGGGGGAGCCAAUCGCAAAAAGCCGGUCUCAGUUCGGAUUGGAGUCUAGUUAGAGAGCUCCAUGAAGUUGGAAUCGCUAGUAAUCGCAGAUCAGCACGCUGCGGUGAAUACGUUCCCG
Molecule: ribosomal RNA, 290 nt
Filed under: uncultured Acidobacteriota bacterium
Lineage: Bacteria; Pseudomonadati; Acidobacteriota
Description: uncultured Acidobacteria bacterium partial 16S ribosomal RNA
Rfam family: Bacterial small subunit ribosomal RNA
Source: RNAcentral